This 85-nucleotide transfer RNA is filed under the name Amylibacter sp. SFDW26. RNAcentral's name for it is "tRNA-Leu". It matches the Rfam family "tRNA". From Rfam's summary of the family: Transfer RNA (tRNA) molecules are approximately 80 nucleotides in length. Their secondary structure includes four short double-helical elements and three loops (D, anti-codon, and T loops). The record is from RNAcentral. Lineage: Bacteria; Pseudomonadati; Pseudomonadota; Alphaproteobacteria; Rhodobacterales; Paracoccaceae.
GCCCGAGUGGCGGAAUUGGUAGACGCGUUGGAUUCAAAAUCCAAUGCCGCAAGGCGUGCCGGUUCGAUUCCGGCCUCGGGUACCA